This 211-nucleotide ribosomal RNA is filed under the name uncultured bacterium. RNAcentral's name for it is "partial 16S ribosomal RNA". It matches the Rfam family "Bacterial small subunit ribosomal RNA", at positions 524 to 728 of the family's 1533-position model. The record is from RNAcentral.
UACGUAGGGUGCGAGCGUUAAUCGGAAUUACUGGGCGUAAAGCGUGCGCAGGCGGUGAUGUAAGACCGAUGUGAAAAUCCCCCGGGCUUAACCUGGGAACUGCAUUUGGUGACUGCAUUUGCUCGAGUAUGGCAGAGGGGGGGGUGGAAUUCCACGUGUAGCAGUGAAAUGCGUAGAGAUGUGGAGGAACACCGAUGGCGAAGGCACCCCC